GUCGAGGGGCAGCGGGGUAGUGCUUGCACUACUGCCGGCGACCGGCGCACGGGUGAGUAACACGUAUGGAACCUGCCCGCAGCAGGGGGAUAAGCGGAAGAAAUUCCGUCUAAUACCGCGUAACAACGUUGGGAGGCAUCUCCCGAUGUUUAAAGAUUUAUCGGCUGCGGAUGGCCAUGCGGCGCAUUAGCUAGUCGGCGGGGUAACGGCCCACCGAGGCGACGAUGCGUAGGGGUUCUGAGAGGAAGGUCCCCCACACUGGUACUGAGACACGGACCAGACUCCUACGGGAGGCAGCAGUGAGGAAUAUUGGUCAAUGGCCGAGAGGCUGAACCAGCCAAGUCGCGUGAGGGAAGACGGCCCUACGGGUUGUAAACCUCUUUUGUCGGGGAGCAAAGCGAACCACGUGUGGUUCAUUGAGAGUACCCGAAGAAAAAGCAUCGGCUAACUCCGUGCCAGCAGCCGCGGUAAUACGGAGGAUGCGAGCGUUAUCCGGAUUUAUUGGGUUUAAAGGGUGCGCAGGCGGAGGUGCAAGUCAGCGGUCAAAUUGCGGGGCUCAACCCCGUACUGCCGUUGAAACUGCAUCCCUUGAGUGCGCGAGAAGUAUGCGGAAUGCGUGGUGUAGCGGUGAAAUGCAUAGAUAUCACGCAGAACUCCGAUUGCGAAGGCAGCAUACCGGCGCGCAACUGACGCUCAUGCACGAAAGCGUGGGUAU
This 715-nucleotide ribosomal RNA is filed under the name uncultured bacterium. RNAcentral describes it as "bacterial SSU rRNA". It matches the Rfam family "Bacterial small subunit ribosomal RNA", at positions 61 to 768 of the family's 1533-position model. The record is from RNAcentral.